Molecule: ribosomal RNA, 253 nt
Filed under: uncultured bacterium
Lineage: Bacteria
Description: partial 16S ribosomal RNA
Rfam family: Bacterial small subunit ribosomal RNA
Source: RNAcentral
UACGUAGGUGGCAAGCGUUGUCCGGAUUUAUUGGGUUUAAAGGGUGCGUAGGCGGUUCUUUAAGUCAGUUGUGAAAUACGGCAGCUCAACUGUCGAGGUGCAAUUGAUACUGGGGGACUAGAGUACUGAUGAGGUAGGCGGAAUGGACGGUGUAGCGGUGAAAUGCUUAGAGAUCGUCCAGAACACCGAUAGCGAAGGCAGCUUACUAAGGAGUAACUGACGCUGAGGCACGAAAGUGUGGGGAUCAAACAGG